CAUCAUGGCCCUUACGAGUAGGGCUACACACGUGCUACAAUGGCGCAUACAAAGAGAAGCGACCUCGCGAGAGCAAGCGGACCUCAUAAAGUGCGUCGUAGUCCGGAUUGGAGUCUGCAACUCGACUCCAUGAAGUCGGAAUCGCUAGUAAUCGUAGAUCAGAAUGCUACGGUGAAUACGUUCCCGGGCCUUGUACACACCGCCCGUCACACCAUGGGAGUGGGUUGCAAAAGAAGUAGGUAGCUUAACCUUCGGGAGGGCGCUUACCACUUUGUGAUUCAUGACUGGGGUGAAGUCGUAACAAGGUAACCGUAGGGGAACCUGCGGUUGGAUCACCUCCUUACCUUAAAGAA
RNAcentral lists this ribosomal RNA (353 nucleotides) under Lacticaseibacillus paracasei. RNAcentral's name for it is "bacterial SSU rRNA". It matches the Rfam family "Bacterial small subunit ribosomal RNA", at positions 1191 to 1533 of the family's 1533-position model. The record is from RNAcentral. Lineage: Bacteria; Bacillati; Bacillota; Bacilli; Lactobacillales; Lactobacillaceae.